GAGAGGUCAAUGAUCUUUAGAUGAAGAGGAUGAGAAACAGGAAGAUGAGGAAGAAGUAGGACCUCCUCUGCUCACUCCUCUCUCCCAAGAUGCAAACUUGUAUAACACCACACCUUGGAGCUCCAGGCUGUCAUCCAGCCUGAGUCCUCAGCAUGCCUUUGCUGUGCUGCGCUCUAACUUGUGGCCAGGAGCAUUUGCAUACGCUGAUGGAAAGAAGUUUGAGAACAUCUACAUUGGAUGGGUGUGAAGAAUGUAGUGAAGG
Molecule: long non-coding RNA, 262 nt
Organism: Thalassophryne amazonica
Lineage: Eukaryota; Metazoa; Chordata; Actinopteri; Batrachoidiformes; Batrachoididae
Exons: 3
Source: RefSeq, a predicted model, not a curated record